ACGAACGCUGGCGGCGUGCUUAACACAUGCAAGUCGAACGGAAAGGCCUCUUUCGGGGGGUACUCGAGUGGCGAACGGGUGAGUAACACGUGAGUAACCUGCCCUUGACUUUGGGAUAACUUCAGGAAACUGGGGCUAAUACCGGAUAGGAGCUCCUGCUGCAUGGUGGGGGUUGGAAAGUUUCGGCGGUUGGGGAUGGACUCGCGGCUUAUCAGCUUGUUGGUGGGGUAGUGGCUUACCAAGGCUUUGACGGGUAGCCGGCCUGAGAGGGUGACCGGCCACAUUGGGACUGAGAUACGGCCCAGACUCCUACGGGAGGCAGCAGUGGGGAAUAUUGCACAAUGGGUGGAAGCCUGAUGCAGCAACGCCGUGUGCGGGAUAACGGCCUUCGGGUUGUAAACCGCUUUCGCUCAUGACGAAGCUUUGUGUGACGGUAGUGGGUAAAGAAGCACCGGCUAACUACGUG
RNAcentral lists this ribosomal RNA (466 nucleotides) under uncultured bacterium. Its description in RNAcentral is "partial 16S ribosomal RNA". It matches the Rfam family "Bacterial small subunit ribosomal RNA", at positions 29 to 507 of the family's 1533-position model. The record is from RNAcentral.